Eucalyptus grandis is the source of this 86-nucleotide non-coding RNA. Lineage: Eukaryota; Viridiplantae; Streptophyta; Magnoliopsida; Myrtales; Myrtaceae. The record is from Rfam.
GAAAGAUGGCCAAUGGGUUCAAGGCAUAACAUUGGUAAUGCUAUGUAUGCUUUUGUUUACCAAGGGUUUGAAUCCCUCUCUUUACG